GACGAACGCUGGCGGCGUGCCUAAUACAUGCAAGUCGAGCGAAAGGACGAGACGCUUGUUUCUCUGAUGUUAGCGGCGGACGGGUGAGUAACGCGAGGAACCCCUCCCUAUCUGACUGGGAACACUACGGGAAACCGGCGCAAACACCGGAUGAUAUCUUGAACCGCAUGGUGCAAAAGUGAAAGACGGUGUUGCUGUAUCUUAUAGCUGGAUCUGCGCUGCAUUAGCUAGUUGGGAAGGUAACGGGUUACGAAGGGAAGGAUGCGUAGCCGACCUGAGAGGGGGGUAGGCCACACGGGAACGGAGACACGGACCAGACUCCUGCGAGAGGCAGCAGAAUGGAAUCGUCCGCAAUGGUCGAAAGCCUUACGGAGCAGCGCCGCGUGAGUUAUGAAGGUCUUCGGAUCGUAAUGCUCUGUUAUUGGGUAAGAACAGAUUUGGACUGUGCUGUGGACAUCGUGACGGUACCGAAUCAGAAAGCCACGGCUAACUACGUG
This 497-nucleotide ribosomal RNA is filed under the name uncultured bacterium. RNAcentral's name for it is "partial 16S ribosomal RNA". It matches the Rfam family "Bacterial small subunit ribosomal RNA", at positions 28 to 507 of the family's 1533-position model. The record is from RNAcentral.